Molecule: ribosomal RNA, 446 nt
Filed under: uncultured bacterium
Lineage: Bacteria
Description: partial 16S ribosomal RNA
Rfam family: Bacterial small subunit ribosomal RNA
Source: RNAcentral
CCUACGGGAGACAGCAGUCGAGAAUCAUUCACAAUGGGGGAAACCCUGAUGCUGCGACGCCGCGUGGGGGAAUGAAGGUCUUCGGAUUGUAAACCCCUGUCAUGUGGGAGCAAAUUAAAAAGAUAGUACCACAAGAGGAAGAGACGGCUAACCCGGGGCCAGCAGCUUCGGUAAUACAGGGGUCUUAAGCGUUGUUCGGAGGCACUGGGCGUAAAGGGUGCGUAGGCUGUUUCGUAAGGCGUGUGUGAAAGGCGCGGGCUCAACCCGCGGAAGGCACAUGAUACUGGGAGACUAGAGGAAUGGAGGGGGAAGCGGAAUUCGCGGUGUAGCAGUGAAAUGCGUAGAUAUCGAGAGGAACACUCGUUGCGAAGGCGGGUUCCUGGACAUUAACUGACGCUGAGGCACGAAGGCCAGGGGAGCGAAAGGGAUUAGAUACCCGGGUAGUC